RNAcentral lists this ribosomal RNA (83 nucleotides) under Perkinsus marinus ATCC 50983. The record is from RNAcentral. Lineage: Eukaryota; Perkinsozoa; Perkinsida; Perkinsidae.
GAACUCCGAAGUUAAGCGGCGCAAGGCCCGGGAUAGUACUGGGGUGGGGGACCGCCCGGGAAGUCCUUAGGGUGCUGCUGGCU